This 352-nucleotide unclassified non-coding RNA is filed under the name soil metagenome. RNAcentral's name for it is "partial contains 5.8S ribosomal RNA, internal transcribed spacer 2, and large subunit ribosomal RNA". The stretch from base 1 to 120 matches the Rfam family "5.8S ribosomal RNA", at positions 35 to 154 of the family's 154-position model. The record is from RNAcentral.
GAUGAAGAACGCAGCGAAAUGCGAUAAGUAGUGUGAAUUGCAGAAUUCAGUGAAUCAUCGAAUCUUUGAACGCACAUUGCGCCCGCCAGUAUUCUGGCGGGCAUGCCUGUUCGAGCGUCAUUACAACCCUCAGGCCCCCGGGCCUGGCGUUGGGGAUCGGCGGAGCCCCCCGUGGGCACACGCCGUCCCCCAAAUACAGUGGCGGUCCCGCCGCAGCUUCCAUCGCGUAGUAGCUAACACCUCGCGACUGGAGAGCGGCGCGGCCACGCCGUAAAACACCCAACUCUUCUGAAGUUGACCUCGAAUCAGGUAGGAAUACCCGCUGAACUUAAGCAUAUCAAUAAGCGGAGGA